ACGAAAUCAGCAAUGGGGAAGCCAUAGUUAGGGUUUUCAAGCUUCCAAGCUCCAUAAUCAAGAAGUACGAAACUCGAGGUUAGACAAAGGGAAGAAUAAAGUUGAAGACUAAGUUGGUGAAUUUGGCUAUAAUUGGUACCGAGUAUUGCAAAGCUACUUCAAGGAUCCUAAAGAAGUCGGAGAUCGUCCACACUAUCAACC
Molecule: long non-coding RNA, 201 nt
Organism: Gossypium raimondii (Peruvian cotton)
Lineage: Eukaryota; Viridiplantae; Streptophyta; Magnoliopsida; Malvales; Malvaceae
Exons: 3
Source: RefSeq, a predicted model, not a curated record